AUAUUUUUUUAAACCCUUGUAACGCGGAGGGUAUUUUAGUCAUUGGAGGGAUUAGGGCAACACGAGAACCCCCGUAUAUAUAUGAUCGCGCUCUGUCCGACCAGUUGGCGCUGGGACUAGGGUUUUUGUGUGCUUAGUUGGCUUGCUUUGCGACUUCAACCUCAGCGAAUUUCCUCUAUUGCGAGCCAUGGCAGAGCAGACCGAGAAGGCAUUUUUGAAGCAGCCCAAGGUAUUCCUGAGCUCGAAGAAAUCAGGGAAAGGAAAGAGGCCUGGAAAGGGAGGCAAUCGGUUCUGGAAGAGCAUUGGACUGGGCUUUAAAACACCCAGAGAGGCAAUUGAAGGGACAUAUAUUGAUAAAAAGUGCCCAUUUACUGGUACUGUUUCUAUCAGAGGCCGCAUACUUGCUGGCACUUGUCACAGUGCAAAGAUGAUGAGGACCAUCAUUGUUAGACGCAAUUACCUUCAUUUUAUUAAAAAAUACCAGAGGUAUGAGAAGCGGCACUCUAAUAUUCCAGCACACAUAUCCCCAUGCUUCCGUGUGAAAGAGGGAGAUCAUGUUAUUAUUGGCCAAUGCAGGCCUUUGUCCAAGACAGUGAGGUUCAAUGUUUUAAAAGUGAUUCCAGCUGGAUCUUCUGGUGGUGGAAAGAAAGCUUUCACAGCCAUGUGAGUUUCCCAGGGCUUAGAGAUGUUGAUUGUUUCUGUGAGGGAAAAUGACUUGAGAUUCGAAUUAGACGGUAGACAGUGUUCUUUCAAUUUUGUACUUGGGUUUUUAAAUCUUUGUAUGACAAUACAAGUUUUCUUGGGAAGUUGGUUCAUAAACUAUGCUGGCAAUGGUUAUUUUAUGCAUACGCUUGUUGUUUUUUUCCAAUUACUCGGCAAAUUUUAAUCUAUUGAUUUGGGGCAUCUUCUCAAUAUGAGAAGCAAAUGUGGUGCGUGAUGACUAAGCUCUUGGUGGUAAUGAUGUUCGGAGUUACCAUGAUAUGAUGAGGGUUGAUAAAUGAAACAUUUGUCUUAGGUAAAUGAUGAUGAUUUUCAAUGUCAGGAUUUUUAACCUCAUGGUCGUACUCAUUUGUGCUUAGUGAUAAUGAUUUUCACUAAGCUCUGGUUAGUGAUAAUGAUGCUUGGAGUUAC
Molecule: unclassified non-coding RNA, 1131 nt
Filed under: Hevea brasiliensis (rubber tree)
Lineage: Eukaryota; Viridiplantae; Streptophyta; Magnoliopsida; Malpighiales; Euphorbiaceae
Source: RNAcentral